GAGUUUCCGAAAAGAUCAGUUCUCCAUCAUGGCCUGGUCUCUGCUUUUAGCUUUCUUCCUCUUAUGGUGCACAGGAGCCAACUCACAGUAUACCUUGACUCAACCUGCGGCACAAUCAUUUCCCAUGGGACAACCAGCAAAGAUCUCAUGUACCAUGAGCCAAGACAGCCAAGUGGGCAGCUUUUACAUACAUUGGUUCCAACACAAGAUUGGAGAGAGCCCCAAGUACCUUCUCUAUGAUAGUGGCAGCAACGGCCGAUUCAAAGGGUCCAUCGAUGCCUCGGCCAAUACAGCCUAUUUAACCAUUUCAAACCUCCAGGCUGAGGAUGAGGCUGAUUACUAUUGUGGUAGUGCUUACGGCAGUGGCAGCACCUGGAGGGAAUCCACCACCACCAUCAUCUGUAGCUUACCGCCUUAUUUGCAGCAUGUGAGGGUCAAGAUCCAGACCCUGUAUUUGGAAGUUUAUGAUCCUGAUCCUCUGUGA
Thamnophis sirtalis is the source of this 484-nucleotide non-coding RNA. Lineage: Eukaryota; Metazoa; Chordata; Lepidosauria; Squamata; Natricidae. The record is from the annotation of a RefSeq genome assembly.